UACGUAGGGUGCGAGCGUUAAUCGGGAUUACUGGGCGUAAAGCGUGCGCAGGCGGUUUUGUAAGCCAGAUGUGAAAUCCCCGGGCUUAACCUGGGAAUGGCAUUUGGGACUGCAAGGCUCGAGUGCGGCAGAGGAGACUGGAAUUCCUGGUGUAGCAGUGAAAUGCGUAGAUAUCAGGAGGAACACCGAUGGCGAAGGCAGGUCUCUGGGCAUUAACUGACGCUGAGGAGCGAAAGCAUGGGGAGCGAACAGG
This 253-nucleotide ribosomal RNA is filed under the name uncultured bacterium. RNAcentral's name for it is "partial 16S ribosomal RNA". It matches the Rfam family "Bacterial small subunit ribosomal RNA", at positions 524 to 776 of the family's 1533-position model. The record is from RNAcentral.